AUUUAUUCUGCAGUCGUCGGGCUUUUAAUCGUUAUUUGGAUUCAUAAAACAAACCAACGGCAGCCCAUUUCACCUUCCCCUUCUUCACGGCUAAACUUUAGUUUCUUGGGUUCAUCGUCUACUGCAACUCUGAUUAGGUCACCAAGCGUCAUCUUCCGCCUCCUUCCUUCUCGCCGAUGUGGUUUUUCUCGGCUCUCUCUUUGUCAGAUGUCUCGGUGGUACUCUAUGCAUUUGGUGGAGGUUUUCUGGUCUGCUCCGGUAUCUCUCUAUGAAGUUUGAAGCUCGAGAUCUUCUCGCCUCUUAGUGGUGGUUUUGUGCCACCGAAAGUUUCUUGGGGCCAGUAACCCUUGACGGCGGUUAUUCAUUUGUUUCUUUAGGGUUCUCCAGUAAGAUUAUGAACUGAAAGUGAUCGAAACGAAAGCCAAGCUUAUCACAUGAGAUAUUUUCGACCUGAGUUGCAAACUUUCAGAAGAAAGUUUUUCAAGUAGAUGUGACAUAGAAGUAUUCAGACAUUUGGAGUUGUGUAGGAAGCAUGCAGCUCACGAUUUGUCUGUCUUUUUAAGGAUCCCUGAGGAAGCUAGAGAGCUUGAAAAGCAACCCACACAAGUCACUAAGGAGAGUAUGAGUCUGUGCGAGGCCAAGUAUUUGAGAAGAUGCUGGAUAUGAUGCACAAUCUGAACAAACUCCAAGAAGGUUGUCUUUAAGAAAAAAUUGAAUUCAAAUGCAAAGAGGAGAAACCAUAUGUGGCCGAAACCAGCAUUGAUCAAGUUUUCUAACACAGAACUCCUAGGAUCGGAUUGGAAUCAAGUGGCAUUUAUUUUGUAAAUAUGAAAACACUCGGUUGAUGUAUGUGUUUUUAUUGUGGGACAAGAGAUUAUCCAUGUCUUUGGCUAGAUUGAUGAAGGAAAAUGGGUCUUCCAAGCCAGGAUUACUGAAAAAUUCCGUUAAGUUGCACUAUGUAGAUAAAACUCUGUUCAAAUGACAGACUCAGACAUUUGUAGUAGGCAAGUGUUAGUUAUUGUUCUUUAGAAAAAUAUCUUAGGAAUAUAGUUUCUCUUUAAGCA
Long non-coding RNA from Brassica napus (rape), 1064 nucleotides. RefSeq lists it as uncharacterized. The record is from RefSeq and is a predicted model, not a curated record. The transcript is spliced from 4 exons. Lineage: Eukaryota; Viridiplantae; Streptophyta; Magnoliopsida; Brassicales; Brassicaceae.